GGCGGUGGAGCGCAGGCUUCGCGCCAUUACGGCCAUCACGGCGGCCGCGGCGGCGUCCCGGUGCCUUCCUCAGUGCCGAAGCUGCUGAAAGAUGGCAGAAGAAGUGGUGGUAGUAGCCAAAUUUGAUUAUGUGGCUCAACAAGAACAAGAAUUGGACAUCAAGAAGAAUGAGAGAUUAUGGCUUCUGGAUGAUUCUAAGUCCUGGUGGCGAGUUCGAAAUUCCAUGAAUAAAACAGGUUUUGUGCCUUCUAACUAUGUGGAAAGGAAAAACAGUGCUCGGAAAGCAUCUAUUGUAAAAAACCUAAAAGAUACCCUAGGCAUUGGAAAAGUGAAAAGAAAACCUAGUGUGCCAGAUUCUGCAUCUCCUGCUGCUGAUAGUUUUGUUGACCCAGGGGAACGUCUCUAUGACCUCAACAUGCCCGCUUAUGUGAAAUUUAACUACAUGGCUGAGAGAGAGGAUGAAUUAUCAUUGAUAAAGGGGACAAAGGUGAUCGUCAUGGAGAAAUGCAGUGAUGGGUGGUGGCGUGGUAGCUACAAUGGACAAGUUGGAUGGUUCCCUUCAAACUAUGUAACUGAAGAAAGUGACAGUCCUUUGGGUGACCAUGUGGGUUCUCUGUCAGAGAAAUUAGCAGCAGUCGUCAAUAACCUAAAUACUGGGCAAGUGUUGCAUGUGGUACAGGCUCUUUACCCAUUCAGCUCAUCUAAUGAUGAAGAGCUUAAUUUUGAGAAAGGAGAUAUAAUGGAUGUUACUGAAAAACCCGAAAAUGACCCAGAGUGGUGGAAAUGCAGAAACAUCAAUGGUAUGGUUGGUCUAGUACCAAAAAACUAUGUUACCAUUAUGCAGAAUAAUCCAUUAACCUCAGGUUUGGAACCAUCACCUCCACAGUGUGAUUACAUUAGGCCUUCACUCACUGGAAAGUUUGCUGGCAAUCCUUGGUAUUAUGGCAAAGUCACCAGGCAUCAAGCAGAAAUGGCAUUAAAUGAAAGAGGACAUGAAGGGGAUUUCCUCAUUCCUGAUAGUGAAUCUUCGCCAAAUGAUUUCUCAGUAUCACUAAAAGCACAAGGGUAAAACAAGCAUUUUAAAGUCCAACUAAAAGAAACUGUCUACUGCUUUGGGCAGCGCAAAUUCAGCACCAUGGAAGAACUUGUAGAACAUUACAAAAAGGCACCAAUUUUUACAAGUGAACAAGGAGAAAAAUUAUAUCUUGUCAAGCAUUUAUCAUGAUACUGCUGACCAGAAGUGACUGCUGCAUAGCUGUAAUUUAACGUGUAAUUGAACACUGAGAAAAUGUUGGGUCCAGUUGUGCUUGAUUGGAAAUUGCUGUUUCUAACUCUAUAUGAGAAUGACUAUAAUAAUAUUUUUAUUAUAACUCAGCCCAUACAUAUAUACUUGGUAUGCAGUGCAUCUGCAUAAAAUAAUUCCUUAUCCAUG
Molecule: RNA transcript, 1432 nt
Organism: Sapajus apella (tufted capuchin)
Lineage: Eukaryota; Metazoa; Chordata; Mammalia; Primates; Cebidae
Gene name: cytoplasmic protein NCK1 pseudogene
Exons: 1
Source: RefSeq, a predicted model, not a curated record